UAAGGAAUAUUGGUCAAUGGACGCAAGUCUGAACCAGCCAUGCCGCGUGAAGGAUGAAGGUCCUCUGGAUUGUAAACUUCUUUUAUCUGGGACGAAAACGGGAUUUUUAUCUCAAUUGACGGUACCAGAGGAAUAAGCACCGGCUAACUCCGUGCCAGCAGCCGCGGUAAUACGGAGGGUGCGAGCGUUAUCCGGAUUUACUGGGUUUAAAGGGUGCGUAGGUGGGCAGAUAAGUCAGUGGUGAAAUCUUCCGGCUUAACCGGGAAACUGCCGUUGAUACUAUUUGUCUUGAAUAUUGCGGAGGUAAGCGGAAUAUGUCAUGUAGCGGUGAAAUGCUUAGAUAUGACAUAGAACACCAAUUGCGAAGGCAGCUUACUACACAAUCAUUGACACUGAGGCACGAAAGCGUGGGUAGCGAACA
This 421-nucleotide ribosomal RNA is filed under the name uncultured bacterium. RNAcentral's name for it is "bacterial SSU rRNA". It matches the Rfam family "Bacterial small subunit ribosomal RNA", at positions 355 to 774 of the family's 1533-position model. The record is from RNAcentral.